This 251-nucleotide ribosomal RNA is filed under the name uncultured bacterium. Its description in RNAcentral is "partial 16S ribosomal RNA". It matches the Rfam family "Bacterial small subunit ribosomal RNA", at positions 524 to 776 of the family's 1533-position model. The record is from RNAcentral.
UACGUAGGUCCCGAGCGUUGUCCGGAUUAUUGGGCGUAAAGCGAGCGCAGGUGGUUUAUUAAGUCUGGUGUAAAAGGCAGUGGCUCAACCAUUGUAUGCAUUGGAAACUGGUAGACUUGAGUGCAGGAGAGGAGAGUGGAAUUCCAUGUGUAGCGGUGAAAUGCGUAGAUAUAUGGAGGAACACCGGUGGCGAAAACGGCUCUCUGGCCUGUAACUGACACUGAGGCUCGAAAGCGUGGGGAACAAACAGG